AGGGAGCCAUUAUUUGAUAUUCGGAGCAAAGAGAAUGAAAGGAAAGAAGGUGAGUUUGGCAGUGCAUGAAAUGAAUGAGGUUUGCAGUAUUUAUAGCAAAGCAAAUAGUUCAGCUUCUUUAGUUUGGUAAACCUUUCCAAGUUUGAAAUUCUGGUAAAUAUUAUUUUUUUUAACGGAAUGGGUUCUGUUAUGAUUGUUCUCAAGCUACCUUCUUAGACUUGGAAUAUUUACUCGUUUUAGAAAAAACGCUUUAUAAUUUUCAAAUCCUACUGCAGCUUACUUUCCUUGUUAAAGUCUUUGAUACUAACAAAAGUCAUUAGUAAAUGCAGAUUUGGCGUGAACUGUUUAGUAUUUACUUUGUAGAAAUAUUCCCCUCCUUUUUCCUUCCCUCUAUUCAGGUGUUUCUGAUAGUGGCUUAUUAUGCUUUAACUCAUAGUUUUCUUCAGUUUUUGUUUAAUGUCCUUAUCAAAAUCACUGUAGAUAUAUGAAUAGAAUGUGAAAUUGCAUGCCAGAGAGAGAGAUUAAUUGUAUGUAGGCUGAAUAUUUAAAGCAAAGAUUGAAUAGAUUAAAACAACUUGGCUUCAGUUAGGUGAUUUUGCACUAAAGAGCCCUUGGGGUUAGGCAUCUUUUGAUGUUCUCACUAGUUUUUGAUCACAUGACCUUUUGAUUUCUUCUAGUCAGACUCAGAAGGUGUAAGGAAAACUGAAAGGGUCGUGUUGGAUUUUCAGGAAAGUUUAACAAAUAACAAACUUUAUUGAGGUCCAUUGAGGGGGACUCCAGCAUUUGACAAAAUUGCUUGAAAACAUAGGUGGAUGCAGUGCUAUCUUAUAGAAGCCAAUAUUCAAAGUUAUGCCAACGAUAUAAUAAUACAAUGUUAUAGAAGUCAAUUCAUCUGUUCAUUCUUUCAAAAUCCAUUUAUACAUGCCCUCAGUUUUAUUCAUGCAUUCUGUUAUUUUGCUUGCUUCUCAAGCUCAGGAAUUUCACCAAAAGGUGGCUGGACAUUUUAUUGACAGGCUCAAGCAGACAGGCAAACAGCUUGCCGACAAAGACUGCCACAAAGGGAGUCCAUUAUUUGAACACAUCAGCCAUGACCUGGAAACCAUUAGUGAUCUGUGGUCCCUACUUGUAUUGAUGUAUUCUCCAGGUGAAGUAACGGAAGGAAAUAAUCUUGCAUAUUCAAAGGCUUAAAAGACAAAUAUGCUGUCGAUUUCAUGUACAUGCAGAAAUGAUUUGAAGCGUUGGUGUUGCUUUCAUCUAAUGUUAAGAAGAUACAACAUCGAACAAGUGCAUGGUUAAUCUGCUUAGCCAGGUUGGAUGAUGGAACAAUCAGAAGAAGUUAUGCAUUUUUAAGGCAGAAUCUGCUUUAUUUGAAGCCUUAAUUAUGCUUGAGAGAUUUUUAUUUUUUUCAGAAAACCCAUUUAUAUUCAGAGUUGGAAGACUGUGACCAAGAAACUUAGGGAGCUACUAUUCAAAGUUUAUGAGCCCUAAAUGUCGUUGUCAAAACAUGUAUCUGCUGCAAGAAAUUAAGCUGGUGCAGAAAAUGAAUCAACUUGUAGCUGUUUACAUUCAAAAGGAUUGCAAGAGAAGAUGGUAAAUUAUAGGAAGGUUUUGGAAUCAAAGGUGGUGUGCGGAAUUUUUGUGGACAUGAUAAAGGUUGGUACAUGCAGUUGUAAUUUUUUGGAAUAGGGUUUUCAAUUGAAGUUUUAGUUUAUGAUAAACCCACUGAAACGAAGAAUGGGCGUGGCAUGUGACUUCAACUUCAUGUUCUUUCAAAUCUUAAUCUCAAAAUGAGCUACAUGUUUUAUACCAGAUUUUUGUUUUUUGUCAGAUUAAACCAAAUUGCAUUAUUCCCAUUUUCCAUUUAGGCAAACAAGACAAAG
This 1880-nucleotide long non-coding RNA is filed under the name Ricinus communis (castor bean). RNAcentral's name for it is "long non-coding RNA (RCOM_LNC002359)". The record is from RNAcentral. Lineage: Eukaryota; Viridiplantae; Streptophyta; Magnoliopsida; Malpighiales; Euphorbiaceae.